AACGAACGCUGGCGGCAUGCCUAACACAUGCAAGUCGAACGAGACCUUCGGGUCUAGUGGCGCACGGGUGCGUAACGCGUGGGAACCUGCCCUUAGGUUCGGAAUAACUCCCCGAAAGGGGUGCUAAUACCGGAUAAUGUCUUCGGACCAAAGAUUUAUCGCCUUUGGAUGGGCCCGCGUUGGAUUAGCUAGUUGGUGGAGUAAAAGCCUACCAAGGCGACGAUCCAUAGCUGGUCUGAGAGGAUGAUCAGCCACACUGGGACUGAGACACGGCCCAGACUCCUACGGGAGGCAGCAGUGGGGAAUAUUGGACAAUGGGCGAAAGCCUGAUCCAGCAAUGCCGCGUGAGUGAUGAAGGCCUUAGGGUUGUAAAGCUCUUUUACCCGGGAUGAUAAUGACAGUACCGGGAGAAUAAGCUCCGGCUAACUCCGUG
RNAcentral lists this ribosomal RNA (433 nucleotides) under uncultured bacterium. RNAcentral describes it as "partial 16S ribosomal RNA". It matches the Rfam family "Bacterial small subunit ribosomal RNA", at positions 29 to 507 of the family's 1533-position model. The record is from RNAcentral.